RNAcentral lists this ribosomal RNA (253 nucleotides) under uncultured bacterium. RNAcentral describes it as "partial 16S ribosomal RNA". It matches the Rfam family "Bacterial small subunit ribosomal RNA", at positions 524 to 776 of the family's 1533-position model. The record is from RNAcentral.
UACGUAGGGCGCAAGCGUUGUCCGGAAUUAUUGGGCGUAAAGAGCUCGUAGGCGGUCUGUCGCGUCCGUCGUGAAAGCCCACAGCUUAACUGUGGAUCUGCGGUGGGUACGGGCAGACUAGAGUGAUGUAGGGGAGACUGGAAUUCCUGGUGUAGCGGUGAAAUGCGCAGAUAUCAGGAGGAACACCGAUGGCGAAGGCAGGUCUCUGGGCAUUAACUGACGCUGAGGAGCGAAAGCAUGGGGAGCGAACAGG